CCAGAAAAGUUUGAAGUAGCUAUGAGAAUGAUCAACAUUGAACUUGCUGAGCCUUCCUUCUGAAAGUGACUUGACCAGAUAUUUGGCUACCUAGUAUGAGUAUCAUUCUGCUUCAUUAAAUAAAAUAUCGUGGAGGAAUACGAAGAAAAGGGCUGCGCAUCUCAGCAUAUUCAAGGUCAAGCAGCUUUUUACCAUAUCCUUAGUAUCUUGCUGCUAAAUGAAAGAAUUAUUGUGGAGGAGCAGAGAAAAGGGCACCUCAACAUGUUCAAGGUCAAGCAGAAAUUAGGAGCUAGAUGUGCUUCUCCAGAGCUGAAAACUUCUUGGCAUGAAGAGAAGAAAAAGCAAGAAGAAGCAGUUUUAAAUAUUGAUUACGUCUUCAUAGUACAAAAAAUGAUUCUAAAGAUAAAACUAUCUAUGAAAUUAGAAAACUGAAGUUGCGUUCUGAUGAAUGUGAGAAAUAAAGUCUUCAAAGAACAGGACACCAAAAGUGCCACUCUCAAAUCAAAGCACUCCAAAAGGCAGAGCAUAAGAAGAACUAGGACAAAUAAAGAAUCUAAAAGAGUCAAACCUUUGGAUGUAGUAAUUGAACAGAGAUAGGCUAUUAGAGAUGAAAUAUCUGAAUUGCUACUGUUUUGCACAAAUGUGAUGCUUUUUUUACUUAUCUUUAGUUGACACAUUCAAUGUUAGAUAAGAAAAAUAUACCUAGUGUUGUAUUUUUGAAAGUGAAAGUUUUUUCUGAUGCUUGAUUACAGAUUAAAACUGUUAAGUUUUUUAUUGUUUAAACAUUUAUUGGUUUGUUGUGUAAUCUGCAAUCACAUACAUUUUAAUCUUGAUUUAUAUAUUACAUAUAUGUACAAGUCUAACUUAAAUAAUAAGUGCAUGGAUAUUAUUGUGGGAAAAAAUAAGACAAUCAAGGGUAGUCUGAAAGAGCUUUGCUGGCAGUAAGUUGCAGAUCUUGAUACCCAAGUAAGAGAUAGGUGGUGUCUCUGACCGAUCCUUUUGCUGUUGCUUGUGGGCGAGUGAGGCUUCUCUGUCAGUGGCUUAGUGAGUCAUAGAUGUAAAAAAUAGAAUAGGCAAAUGAGGUAGAGACAUUUCUUAGUAAAAAAGGGGUGAAUUGUGAUUUUAAUAAAUAUUACAAUUGAUAUUGCAAGAGUAAUGAGAAUUGCAAGAGUAAAAUAUUUAUUUGUUUCCUUCCAUUUGAAGUAAGAGAGUUUAUGAAUUAUGAGUUAUGGAAUUGUAAUUAAGGCUUAAAAAAAUUUGUUAAAUAUACUUGUACAUAUGUUUAUACAGGACUUUUAUAUGUGCAUGUUUCAGAGCUCAUUCUUGAUAUUUUAAGGCAAAGUUAAAAAUAUCACUAUUGAAAUGUCUUGCAUUCCAAUGUAAAGUUGAUUUAAUGAGGAUAUGUUAAAUUACAGUCAUCAAGCAAUAAACCUAGCAGUUGGAGCAGAAAUGAGCUACAUGUAUUGUAAACAAAUUUAAGCUGCUAUUGUUUUGUGUAAUUGUGAUACUUUUUCCUUAAUUUGAAUUGACAUAACCAAAUGAUAUAAAAGAUUUUUUUGGGUGUUGUAUUUUUCACAGUCAACAUUAAGUAUUUUACAAGUUGAACUUGAAUAAUUAGUGCAUUGACAUCUAUUGUGGAAAUACUUGGGAAACAAUAUAAGGGUGGUCUGAAAGAGGUUUGCUGGCAGUAAGUUGCAGAUCUUGAUACCCAAGUAAGAGAAAGGUGGUGUCUCUGACCGAUCCUUUUGCUGUUGCUUGUGGGCGAGUGAGGCUUCUCUGUCAGUGGCUUAGUGAGUCAUAGAUGUAAAAAAUAGAAUAGGCAAAUGAGGUAGAGACAUUUCUUAGUAAAAAAGGGGUGAAUUGUGAUUUUAAUAAAUAUUACAAUUGAUAUUGCAAGAGUAAUGAGAAUUGCAAGAGUAAAAUAUUUAUUUGUUUCCUUCCAUUUGAAGUAAGAGAGUUUAUGAAUUAUGAGUUAUGGAAUUGUAAUUAAGGCUUAAAAAAAUUUGUUAAAUAUACUUGUACAUAUGUUUAUACAGGACUUUUAUAUGUGCAUGUUUCAGAGCUCAUUCUUGAUAUUUUAAGGCAAAGUUAAAAAUAUCACUAUUGAAAUGUCUUGCAUUCCAAUGUAAAGUUGAUUUAAUGAGGAUAUGUUAAAUUACAGUCAUCAAGCAAUAAACCUAGCAGUUGGAGCAGAAAUGAGCUACAUGUAUUGUAAACAAAUUUAAGCUGCUAUUGUUUUGUGUAAUUGUGAUACUUUUUCCUUAAUUUGAAUUGACAUAACCAAAUGAUAUAAAAGAUUUUUUUGGGUGUUGUAUUUUUCACAGUCAACAUUAAGUAUUUUACAAGUUGAACUUGAAUAAUUAGUGCAUGGACAUCUAUUGUGGAAAUACUUGGGAAACAAUAUAAGGGUGGUCUGAAAGAGGUUUGCUGGCAGUAAGUUGCAGAUCUUGAUACCCAAGUAAGAGAAAGGUGGUGUCUCUGACCGAUCCUUUUGCUGUUGCUUGUGGGCAAGUGAGGCUUCUCUGUCAGUGGCUUAGUGUGUCUUAUUAAAUGUACAUGUAAAAAGAAUGGACAACUUUUAUUGGCAACUUUUAUUCUUUUUAUGCAAAGUAUGAUAUAAUUUAUUGUGGGAAAUUGAAAAGCCAUUUACAACUCAUGCAGCAGUUUUAUUAGGGGCAGUUUCAGUCAGAUUUUGCAGUAUUUUGGAGUCCAGAAUGACUACAUUUUUGACCUGUUGUGUUCUGAUUUAUUGCGGAUUUGAAUUUUACAUACAAUUCUAGUCUUAUAUUAAAUUAUUUUUAAUUACUUCAGUAUAUUACUUACUACUAGUAUGUAAAAUUUACUCUAUUAUAAUAGAGCUACAAUCAU
Long non-coding RNA from Saccostrea cuccullata (small rock oyster), 2868 nucleotides. RefSeq lists it as uncharacterized. The record is from RefSeq and is a predicted model, not a curated record. Lineage: Eukaryota; Metazoa; Mollusca; Bivalvia; Ostreida; Ostreidae. The transcript has 4 exons.